Molecule: long non-coding RNA, 911 nt
Filed under: Sarcophilus harrisii (Tasmanian devil)
Lineage: Eukaryota; Metazoa; Chordata; Mammalia; Dasyuromorphia; Dasyuridae
Description: lncRNA (ENSSHAG00000032260.1)
Source: RNAcentral
GGCGCGUUCGUCAAGUUCUUCAUCGUGAAAUUUAUUGAGGGUUAAAAAGAUUUUUUUUAACGUGCAACUGAACGGCUCCUUUACGCUUCCCACAGCUGCAUGUUGCCGGGCUCCCACACCUGCUGUAAACUUGAGGUCCGAGGUGCCGCGCAGGAGGCUCUCGCUUCAAUGUGCUCUUUUCCCCCUCUGCUGUUCUCGCAAGACUUGAUCGCUUCGGGGCAUAGAUUUUUGCUCUUCUGUGUGAACACAAGCUAAAGUGGAAAUUCCCACCUGAGGUGUCAGCAUCAUCAUCAUCAUCAUGGAAAACUAUCUGGAGUAUAAUUCUUGCUAAAGUUCUUUUCAACGACUCCUUUUUCCUGAAUCCAGACUGAAUGGACCUGAUUGGAUGAAGUAUUUCUCAGUAUUGAGCCACAUGUUCCCUGUUUCCAGAACUGAGACCUUGGGGAGGUCAUUUACUCUCUGGAGGAAUGGACUUUGAACCUGAGAUAUAGGAAGUUGCAGGAAGUGACAUGACUUGUAGGCGGCGGCCAGCAUUAGUGAUCAUUGAUCAAGGAUGGUUACAUCCUGUUACUCUUAUUCAAUGAGAAGACUCGAGUGUUUUGCUUUUAAACCCUGGACAUGCUGGAAGCAGGGCCUGAGGAGAAUGAACUUCGAUGGGAAAAAGAAGAAUGGGAAAGAUGAUUUGGAGAUUGGAGCAGACAUAGAAUCCCAUAACAAGAGAAGCAAAAUAACAAAGAAGGAUCAGGGACAAAAAUUAUCUUCUAAAGGCCUAUCUAGGAUUGACCUUGUAGUUGUAGAUUGGCUAAAGUAGCAGCUAUGCUAUAUACGUAUGGAUCCAUUUAACUAUACCAAUGACUACAUUUGAUGAGGCACGAAAAGCCUUGCAGCUAAAGAAAGCUGGUGUUCUGGAG